This is a non-coding RNA of Hydra vulgaris (swiftwater hydra), 1416 nucleotides long. The record is from RefSeq and is a predicted model, not a curated record. Lineage: Eukaryota; Metazoa; Cnidaria; Hydrozoa; Anthoathecata; Hydridae.
GAAAUUACGUAAUUUGUAAAUGUAAAAUAUAUUUGCUACAAACUUAUACGCUAGCAAAUCGACUUGCAAAGUAUAUAGUUUAAUAUAUCUUAAAAACAUAAGGGUUUGCAUUUCAGGGAAAGGAUUGAGAGAGGUACUAUUUCCUGCUAACAAACUCAAACACAUUCCACUACUUAUUUUGAGAAGUCAAAGCUAUCUUUAUUUCAGGUUUUUUUAAAGCCACUUUUACUAGUAGGUUGACAUGAGAUAGAAAGCGUUGAAAACAAAUAAAAACCACAUUUUCUAAAUUUUUGGACAUUUUCUCUAAAUAUGUAAAACAUUCAAAAAAUGGUUUUUAAACUUUAUAUCUGAAAGACUAAAAGACAUUUAAGAACCAUGUUGGGUUGAAAUAAAUUUUUAUCAAUCCAUAUCUAGCAUAUGCUGAUAUAAAGAUAUAAAACUAAACCGUUAAGAAAGAAACGUCAAAAUAAUUUUUUUCUGCUUCUUCAGAUGUUUGUUCUGAUAUAACACCGAGUCUUCUGUCUAUGAAGAUAAUUCCUAAGACGAAACCUCAUUAUGUAAAACUUCUAUCCUCUAUUUUAUUCAGUGAAGUCUUCUACGCUAACAUCAUAAAUAUUGAGUUUUAAAAGAAGUAUGGAUUCCAUAAGAACAUUUUUUUCUCUUUAGAAAACAUGUCAUGUUUUGUGCCAAAACAGCAUUUAGCAACUAAAUUAGACAAAGGCUAACAAAUAUUAAGUUGCUGAAAAUAAUAGCACUAACAAAAUCAAAUUUCUUAACCUUAUGUAACUCGCACAAUUGGCCAGGUACCCGAGCAGCACAACUUAGUAGGCCCAACGUUGGCCCAACGUAUUUCUGAUUGUUGGGCCAAGGAGGCGUUUUGGUAGGCUGUAAGUUGGCGUUGUACUAGCAUAUGGUUGGCUGCCCAUCGUGCCUACGUUGACGUAACAUACACUUAAUAUUGUUGGCGCAACGUUGGCCCACUUAUGGUUUUAAGUUGUUGGUGCAACGUUGGCCGAACCAAGUAAAACAGUUGGCGACACGUUGGCAUAACGCAUUUCGUAUAAUGCUGACUUUACAUUGGCACUGUUGGUAUGGGUUUGUAGGGCUAUGCUGGCGUAAUAAUGUUUAAAGGUUGAAAACGCGUUAGCAUAUGAUCGGCCGCCCAUCGGGCCAAUGUCGGCAUCGUGUAUACUCAAUGUUGUUAGCACACUGUUAGUUUUAUAUUGUAUUCGCAUUUGUGCAUUUUAUUAACGUUGGCCUAAGACUUCAAGCAUUGUUUCCAACAAUGUUAGCAACGCGUUGUGUGACGACUAGGAUGAUUUGAUACUCAUUGAACUAACGUUAUUAUGAAAGUUGAAAAUGUAAAAGUAUUUAAAGUUACAUAAAAGUAUUAAAGUUAAUAAAUUUGUUGGUUUC